UGGGAAUUUGGACAAUGGGCGAAAGCCUGAUCCAGCAAUGCCGCGUGUGUGAAGAAGGCCUUCGGGUUGUAAAGCACUUUUGUCCGGAAAGAAAUCCUUGGCUCUAAUACAGUCGGGGGAUGACGGUACCGGAAGAAUAAGCACCGGCUAACUACGUGCCAGCAGCCGCGGUAAUACGUAGGGUGCAAGCGUUAAUCGGAAUUACUGGGCGUAAAGCGUGCGCAGGCGGUUUGCUAAGACCGAUGUGAAAUCCCCGGGCUCAACCUGGGAACUGCAUUGGUGACUGGCAGGCUAGAGUAUGGCAGAGGGGGGUAGAAUUCCACGUNUAGCAGUGAAAUGCGUAGAGAUGUGGAGGAAUACCGAUGGCGAAGGCAGCCCCCUGGGCCAAAUACUGACGCUCAUGCACGAAAAGCGUGGGGAGCAAAACAGGAUUAGAUACCCUGGUAGUCCACGCCCUAAAACGAUGUCAACUAGUUGUUGGGGAUUCAUUUCCUUAGUAACGUAGCUAACGCGUGAAGUUGACCGCCUGGGGAGUACGGUCG
RNAcentral lists this ribosomal RNA (542 nucleotides) under uncultured bacterium. RNAcentral describes it as "partial 16S ribosomal RNA". It matches the Rfam family "Bacterial small subunit ribosomal RNA", at positions 357 to 888 of the family's 1533-position model. The record is from RNAcentral.